AGCUUCCCCACGUGGACCCACUGCUCCCUGCUCCUCACAGGCCAGUCCUGCCAGCACUGACCCUUGUUUGUUGCGGCUUGUAAAAUACUACGCAGUCAUUUUCCUGUGGGUGUGUCUAUUCUCCUCCUGCCCUGUGCCCAGCUUCCCUGUUCAGCAAGGCUCUUCCCUGUUCAGCAAGGCAGGUUGGGGCCAGGACUGGGGAGGGGAGACAGCAAGGUGAGCAGCUCCUCCCCCGCCCCCCCCACCAGGGGCGGGGCUGAGGCCACAGAGGGCCGUCCAGUAAGGCUCCCACUUUCCUUCCUGUCACUUUUUGGGUAAAAGAUGGCUUGACACCUGCGAAAGGAAUGCCUCAGGGCCUUCUCGAUGGAGACGGAGCACAGUGAGCCUGGGGAGGAAGAGGAAGAACAGUUGAGUGGACCAGGCACAGGGUGUGGUGCCCGGGGUUGGUGUGGAGCAGGAGCACGCUGCCCAAGGGCCAUAUUUCCGCAGUAGCCCUUUUCAACAUCUCCUCAGCUGAGUUUCCUCCUGUCACAAGCAGAACGUAGCCCAGACGCAAAAAUCAGCAGCAGACGCUGACCAGAUGGCCCUGCUUUACCCCAGCCAAACUCCUCAGAGGCUUGAAAUGGUGGGGCGCCCUGUCGGUUUCGCUGGAGUAAGCUCUGUCUCCCCAUGGGAGGAGCAGCUCGUUCUCUCUCUGGACCACGAGCUCUGGGGAAGUCAGCUGCCACAUCACGAAGACACUCAAGAAGCCCUAUGAAGAGGUCUACAUGGUAAGGAGCUGAGUCCUCCUGCCAAAAGCCCUGUGAGUCAGCUUUCUUAGAAGUGGAUCCUCCAGCCUCAGUCAAGCCUUCAGAGACGACGUCCUGAGCUGACAUCUUCACUGCAACUUCAUGUACAAACCUGACCCAAAAAUCACCUCUUGCUAUGCUGGUUCAAAUUCCUGAGCCAUAGAAACUGUGAGACAAUAAUUGUUGUUUUCAGAUGCUAAGUUUUGGGAUAAUUUGUUACACAGAAAGAAAUAACUAAUAAUCCCCUCUAUCCUCUUGCUUUUCCAAGUUUAAUCCACUCUUCCCUCUUUCGUAUUCUCUGUGCACCAAAUAAUGGGGGAACAAAGGCAGGAUGUAGUAAGACAGAGGACUCCGGGGAACUGAGCCCCAAAAGGAAAGGUUCUCAAUGAACGUCUGUUGUACUGAAGGGGAAGAAAUGAAAGCUUGUCAGCAGCAUUCAUUCUUCACCUUGAAGCCCAUUCUUCACCUUGAAGCCCAGCCCCACAUUAUUUUACGCUUACUCUGGCUUCCCAGGCCCAGGUAGGGACUUUGACAGGAAGUAGGAAUUGGAGGGCAGGACACAC
Long non-coding RNA from Rhinolophus ferrumequinum (greater horseshoe bat), 1351 nucleotides. RefSeq lists it as uncharacterized. The transcript has 4 exons. The record is from RefSeq and is a predicted model, not a curated record. NCBI's taxonomy places the organism in Eukaryota, Metazoa, Chordata, Mammalia, Chiroptera, Rhinolophidae.